This 462-nucleotide ribosomal RNA is filed under the name uncultured bacterium. RNAcentral's name for it is "partial 16S ribosomal RNA". It matches the Rfam family "Bacterial small subunit ribosomal RNA", at positions 29 to 507 of the family's 1533-position model. The record is from RNAcentral.
AGUGAACGCUGGCGGCGUGCCUAAUACAUGCAAGUCGAACGGAGAUUAAGUAGCUUGCUGUUUAAUCUUAGUGGCGCACGGGUGAGUAAUAUAUAGCUAACUUGCCCAUUACUAAGGGACAACAGUUGGAAACGACUGCUAAUACCUUAUACUCCGUAUCUAUAUAAGUAGAUACGGGAAAGUUUUUCGGUAAUGGAUAGGGCUAUAUCGUAUCAGCUAGUUGGUAAGGUAAUGGCUUACCAAGGCUAUGACGCGUAACUGGUCUGAGAGGAUGAUCAGUCACACUGGAACUGAGACACGGUCCAGACUCCUACGGGAGGCAGCAGUAGGGAAUAUUGCUCAAUGGGGGAAACCCUGAAGCAGCCACGCCGCGUGAAGGAUGACACUUUUCGGAGCGUAAACUCCUUUUCUUGGGAAAGAAUUAUGACGGUACCCAAGGAAUAAGCACCGGCUAACUCCGUG